RNAcentral lists this long non-coding RNA (921 nucleotides) under Homo sapiens (human). Its description in RNAcentral is "HSALNT0369928". Lineage: Eukaryota; Metazoa; Chordata; Mammalia; Primates; Hominidae. The record is from RNAcentral.
CGGCUUGGGUUUGCGCCUUGCAGGCGGCGCGCGGACCUUGGGAAACCGGCUCUGAGCAUCGCUGUGAGGCAGCCAAGGACUGGAGGCAGGUUCCAUGAUUUGGGGGCGCCUCUGCCGCAGGCCCUUUCUACCUGAGUGUUCUCUCUUCUGCAACACCCGUUUUAACCCCUUUUAAAGGAAUUGGGGGCUAGCCAGACUAGACUAGGGGCGGCGAAACGCACUGAAGAGAGUUGGAUACAGAAUUUCUUGCAAACGAGGUCGAGUUGCGUCUGGGAUACGGUGUCAUGCCCCACCCCCGCCCCACGACCCUGCCGGCCCCACCUUUCUUUUGCUUCGCCUGCAGAAACCCGCACGGCCUUCAUACGUGCAUUUGAAAUUACCUAAGGGCGUAAGCAAUAUUUCCUCUGUCACGGAUUAAAACUUUCGAUGUAACGGUGUUAUCUGAAUCUCACUAGUUUUUGUCGUAAUCCUAUUGAGUUCGGGUCACUCUGAUCUGAAAUGCUAAAUGCAGUUCUUGGAGAACACGCCCUUUGGGAAGUAACGCUUUUUUGCGGCCCUGAAGAGAUGGAUUUGGAGUUGAGGAUGAAAUGUUGGGUGUUGAGGCAUUGUGGAGCAGUGGGCAAGACUUUGGAGGGGGCCUGCAUUCGGAACCUGCGUCUAUCAGGCGCGGCCGGUGUUGGGCAGUGUCUUAACCCCGAGGGCCAUUGUUUCCUCGGCAGGAACGCGGCUUUAAAAACGGAACCAUCCUCAGGGUGGUUGCGAGAAUUUAACGUAAAACGGGGCUUGGCCUUGUAAAAGCUCAGUGUUUCACGUAAAUGUUGAACACUGACCAGACAAUGAUUGUCAGUGUAGUUUUUACCAAACAGUUAUUAGAUUUAUUCACCCUAAACUUCAGUGGAUUUCUCCGUUUGUCUAUUGUUU